GCCCGGAAAGGCAAACGGCCAGCCAGCAGCCUGCAAAGCUGCCUUAGUGGGUUCGACUCUCACUCCGGGCUCCA
Molecule: transfer RNA, 74 nt
Filed under: Bacteroidota bacterium
Lineage: Bacteria; Pseudomonadati; Bacteroidota
Description: Bacteroidetes bacterium tRNA-Cys
Rfam family: tRNA
About the family: Transfer RNA (tRNA) molecules are approximately 80 nucleotides in length. Their secondary structure includes four short double-helical elements and three loops (D, anti-codon, and T loops).
Source: RNAcentral